RNAcentral lists this ribosomal RNA (496 nucleotides) under uncultured bacterium. RNAcentral's name for it is "partial 16S ribosomal RNA". It matches the Rfam family "Bacterial small subunit ribosomal RNA", at positions 28 to 506 of the family's 1533-position model. The record is from RNAcentral.
GACGAACGCUGGCGGCGUGCCUAAUACAUGCAAGUAGAACGCUGAAGAGAGGAGCUUACUCUUCUUGGAUGAGUUGCGAACGGGUGAGUAACGCGUAGGUAACCUGCCUUGUAGCGGGGGAUAACUAUUGGAAACGAUAGCUAAUACCGCAUAACAAUGGAUGACACAUGUCAUUUAUUUGAAAGGGGCAAUUGCUCCACUACAAGAUGGACCUGCGUUGUAUUAGCUAGUAGGUGAGGUAAUGGCUCACCUAGGCGACGAUACAUAGCCGACCUGAGAGGGUGAUGGGCCACCCUGGGACUGAGACACGGCCCAGACUCCUCCGGGGGGCAGCGGUAGGGAAUUUUCGGCAAUGGGGGCAACCCUGACCGGCCAACGCCGGGGGAGGGAAAAAGGUUUUCGGAUCGUAAAGCUUUGUUGUAAGUCAAGAACGGGUGUGGGGGGGGAAAGUUCCCACUGUGCCGGUAGUUUACCAGAAAGGGGCGGCUAACUACGU